Long non-coding RNA from Triplophysa rosa, 394 nucleotides. RefSeq lists it as uncharacterized. The transcript is spliced from 3 exons. The record is from RefSeq and is a predicted model, not a curated record. Lineage: Eukaryota; Metazoa; Chordata; Actinopteri; Cypriniformes; Nemacheilidae.
CAAUAACAAUGAUGCUUGAAAAACCGCACUGGAUGAAAGGCCUUUGAAAGGCUGACGAGUUCUCUCCGAGGUGGUUCGGAUUGACGAGCACUAUUUGACUGUGUGCCCGCUUGUCCUUUUUGUCCAUGCAGAGGGAAAUGCCAGUGCUGUGAUGUGGAAUUCUUGCUAGGAUCAGGCGCUUGCUGUCAAAGCUAAUCAGCCAACACUUACCGAAGCCUAAUCAGCCUUCAGCACACCUAAAACAUGACCCCCAGCCGUGUCACAACUAAAAUCUGCAUGAUGAAAUAAUCUACAGGGACUAUUCUUUGCAGAUGUGGGCCACAAAAGCACGGAUGCGCAGUAACGUUUCUUUAUGUUGUUGCUUUGAAACCGUCUAUAAAUAAGAAAUUCUGAU